ACUUCUUGAUAAAGAAGAUGAGAAAAUGAUCAAAGUGAUCAUAAUAAAUGAGGCAAGUGAUCUUGAAGGUCACGUGACAUAACACUUCAUAAAAUCUCAUGAAAGUUCCAGGUAUCUGAAUAUAUGAAUGAAGAGAUCUCCAUGUUAUGUCUUUAUGAAUAAUUAUUGGAAUUGAUAUAACAUGUUCGUCGAUGACAUCUAUCAUAGCGCUAAGUUUAGAUAAGGAUCUUAAGUCUAUCGAAUAUAGACACAUA
This 254-nucleotide long non-coding RNA is filed under the name Nicotiana benthamiana. RNAcentral describes it as "long non-coding RNA (NBEN_LNC022370)". The record is from RNAcentral. Lineage: Eukaryota; Viridiplantae; Streptophyta; Magnoliopsida; Solanales; Solanaceae.